GGAUGGAUCAUUAAACUUAUCCAAGUAUCAACCAACGUGCACUUUGUUGUUGAGUAUAUUCUUAACUGAAUAUGCCCAUCUUUUUUUUUAAACCCAUUGUAUUAUUUCUAUGAAUUAUUUAUUCUUUGUCGCGGCCGAAAGGCGGACUUUCUUUAAAAUCGUAAGAAAUGUUAAGCACAACUCUUAACAACGGAUAUCUAGGCUCUCGGAUCGAUGAAGAACGCAGCGAAAUGCGAUACGUAAUGCGAAUUGCAGGAUUCAGUGAAUCAUCAAAUCUUUGAACGCAACUUGCAGCUGUUGGUAGCCCGACAGCUAUACCUCUCUGAGUAUCGUCUUCAAACCAUCUCGUCUGCGUACUUUUUUUUCAAGUACAAGGACGGAAAAUGAGAGUCUGGCCUGGUAACGGGCUAGUCUCUUGAAAUACAGUGUCUGCCUCUCUGUGGAAAUGAGGCUGCUAGUUCAUCUUUUUUCGCAUUCGGUUAUGAUGUCGAAAGGCAUUGUAGCUGUUUAAUUGCGAAAGAGAUGGCGGAUUUAGAAGCCAAGUAGCAUACCCUGUUCUUGGCCGUAUACCUGGGAAACGAGUUCUUCUGAUCUCGAUUCUAAGUCUUACGAUAAAAAUUCUUUUAUACCAGCGUUUGAGCGCUAAAAUCCAACUAGUUAAGGGAGAUAAUAAGGAAAAGCUCGUAAGAGUUUUUCUUUUAAAAAACUUUAACUAGGGAUGCAAAAGCAAAGGUAUGAAACGAAUCGAAAGGCAAGGGAUUGAAGAACAAGAUUCCAAUCAGGAAAACGGCUGAGGUAGUGUGAGGAAUAAUGACUUUUUCGUUGUUUCUUCUUACAAUACUGAUUUGAAACAGAUGGGGGUCUAGAGCUGAAGGUGCUUCGUUUUAACAAUCUCUUAGCAGUCUAUCUUUAAGUUUCGUGACAGUAGGUACGAGCGUCUUAGCCUUGGUGAUGAGCCAUUGGUCUUAAGAUAUAUAUACUAAACAUAUAAUAAACCCUUGAAAUUUGAUCUCAGAUGAAGUAAGACUACCCGCCGAAUUUAAGCAUAUUAUUAAGCGGAGGAGAAGAAACUAACAAGGAUUCCCCUAGUAACGGCGAGUGAAGCGGGAAGAGCUCAAAGUUAAAAUCGGUGUACCUAGCGGUGCUCCGAAAUGUAAUCUGGAGACCUUGUCCCAGUCUAGACCCGAGUUUAAAUCCUUUGAAACAGGGUGUCAUAGAGGGUGAGAAUCCCGUCUUUGACUCGGAGUUCUAGGCGUACGGGCGGGGAUCAAAGAGUCGGAUAGCUUGGGAAUGCUGUCCUAAAUGGGUGGUAAAUUUCAUCUAAAGCUAAAUACAGCCGAGAGACCGAUAGCGAACAAGUACCGUGAGGGAAAGAUGAAAAGAACUUUGAAAAGAGAGUUAAAAAGUACUUGAAAUUGUUAAGAGGUAAGCUCUAAAAUCCAGUGCUGCUGGGCUCCACUUAGCUGUCGCUGAAACGUGGUGUUCCAGGCCGACGACCUAAAAAGCGUUUGGUUUGGCCUGCGGUAAGGCUAGGUGACGUGGAUCUUGGUGAGUCAAGGUCAGGUAGUGUGCCGCGCGGGAGAAAGCUGGCGGAAGAAGGGCUGCUAAGGGCGACCUUAGUGGCAGUUUAGACGCUUGCUCUACCGUGUCGCUGCCUGAGGAAAACUUAUCGAUAACGUGCCACGCGGUUGUCAGAUCCCGGUAGCCAACGAUUGACUCACGAUUGUGUCGUGUUAGGUCGUUGGUGGCUGAUGGUUUGAUAAUUGACUGCACGUUCGCGAUCUUGACGAAAUGGUUUUUAGAGACCCGUCUUGAAACACGGACCAAGGAGUCUAACCUAUAUGCGAGUAUUUGGGUGUGAAAACCCUGAUGCGUAAUGAAAGUGAAGGUAGCCUUUUGUGCUGCUGAGGUAGGAAACCUGUCACAGGGUGGCACUAUCGACCGAUCAAUCCUUCUGGAAAGAUUUGAGUAAGAGCAUAUCUGUUGGGACCCGAAAGAUGGUGAACUAUGCCUGAUCAGGGUGAAGCCAGGGGAAACUCUGGUGGAGGCUCGUAGCGAUACUGACGUGCAAAUCGUUCGUCUGAAUUGGGUAUAGGGGCGAAAGACUAAUCGAACCAUCUAGUAGCUGGUUCCCGC
RNAcentral lists this unclassified non-coding RNA (2136 nucleotides) under uncultured fungus. RNAcentral's name for it is "sequence contains 18S rRNA gene, ITS1, 5.8S rRNA gene, ITS2, 28S rRNA gene". The stretch from base 1007 to 2136 matches the Rfam family "Eukaryotic large subunit ribosomal RNA", at positions 1 to 961 of the family's 3401-position model. The record is from RNAcentral. Lineage: Eukaryota; Fungi.